CCUACGGGUGGCAGCAGUAGGGAAUAUUGCACAAUGGGCGAAAGCCUGAUGCAGCAACGCCGCGUGCGCGAUGAAGGCCUUCGGGUCGUAAAGCGCUUUUCGGGGAGAUGAGGAAGGACAGUAUCCCCGGAAUAAGGAUCGGCUAACUACGUGCCAGCAGCCGCGGUAAAACGUAGGAUCCGAGCGUUAUCCGAAUUUACUGGGCGUAAAGCGCGUGCAGGCGGUUCGGUAAGUUGGGUGUGAAAUCUCCCGGCUCAACUGGGAGAGGUCGCUCAAUACUGUCGGACUAGAGGAUGGUAGAGGGAGGUGAAAUUCCCGGUGUAGCGGUGAAAUGCGUAGAGAUCGGGAGGAACACCGGUGGCGUAGGCGGCGUCCUGGCCGACACCUGACGCUGAAGCGCGAAAGCGUGGGGAGCGAACGGGAUUAGAUCCCCGGGUAGU
Molecule: ribosomal RNA, 440 nt
Filed under: uncultured Anaerolineae bacterium
Lineage: Bacteria; Bacillati; Chloroflexota; Anaerolineae
Description: partial 16S ribosomal RNA
Rfam family: Bacterial small subunit ribosomal RNA
Source: RNAcentral